UACAGAGGGUGCAAGCGUUGUCCGGAAUUACUGGGCGUAAAGGGCGCGUAGGCGGCUUGAUAAGUAGGAGGUGAAAUCUCACGGCUCAACCGUGAAACUGCCUUCUAAACUGUCAGGCUUGAGCACGGUAGAGGCAGAUGGAAUUCCCGGUGUAGCGGUGGAAUGCGUAGAGAUCGGGAAGAACACCAGUGGCGAAGGCGGUCUGCUGGGCCGUUGCUGACGCUGAGGCGCGACAGCGUGGGGAGCAAACAGG
RNAcentral lists this ribosomal RNA (253 nucleotides) under uncultured bacterium. Its description in RNAcentral is "partial 16S ribosomal RNA". It matches the Rfam family "Bacterial small subunit ribosomal RNA", at positions 524 to 776 of the family's 1533-position model. The record is from RNAcentral.